GGCAAGAUAGCCGAGUUGGUUAUGGCGUGAGGUUGGGGUAUCAAUCUUAGCACAGUUUCCUCAUCGAGUAAUCAACGUGGGUAAGUUCCACUCUUGUCA
Molecule: non-coding RNA, 99 nt
Organism: Xylaria telfairii
Lineage: Eukaryota; Fungi; Ascomycota; Sordariomycetes; Xylariales; Xylariaceae
Source: the annotation of a GenBank genome assembly